RNAcentral lists this transfer RNA (72 nucleotides) under Marmota monax (woodchuck). Its description in RNAcentral is "tRNA.Ala". It matches the Rfam family "tRNA". Rfam says of the family: Transfer RNA (tRNA) molecules are approximately 80 nucleotides in length. Their secondary structure includes four short double-helical elements and three loops (D, anti-codon, and T loops). Further hydrogen bonds mediate the characteristic L-shaped molecular structure. tRNAs have two regions of fundamental functional importance: the anti-codon, which is responsible for specific mRNA codon recognition, and the 3' end, to which the tRNAs corresponding amino acid is attached (by aminoacyl-tRNA synthetases). tRNAs cope with the degeneracy of the genetic code in two manners: having more than one tRNA (with a specific anti-codon) for a particular amino acid; and 'wobble' base-pairing, i.e. permitting non-standard base-pairing at the 3rd anti-codon position. The record is from RNAcentral. Lineage: Eukaryota; Metazoa; Chordata; Mammalia; Rodentia; Sciuridae.
GGGGGUGUGGAUCAAUGGUAGAGCAUUCGCCUAGCAUGUGAAAGGCACUGGGUUCGGACCUCAGCACCAAGA